GCCAGAUCUUCUGCAAGCAUGAUCUUGUAUUUAGCAGAUUUCACACCGAUCAAAGUAUUCCAAGGGCUCUGACAAGAAUAAAUCACAAUUUUAACUACUAUAUCCAAUUAAAAACUUCUGAAAAAAUCAACCCACAAAAUUCCUGAUGUAUGAACUAUGAAUCAAAUUUGGGUGAUUGUUAUGGUGCGGGGCAUCCCCUAAACAAUAAGUUCAUCUUCAAGAUAGUUAUACUCAAAAGUGAACUCGGUCUUGAUUCUUUGACACCAUCCAUGUUGGAGGUCAUCAUUGGCAAUAUGGAAAUCAAAGUAAACAUAAGUGCCCAGUUCAUAUUCAUCAGUUGCAACUUUGGGUUCCUCAUGCCGUUGAAACCAGGUGUUGUAUUUUCUGUGGUAUCUCCAGGAUUGCUUCUUUAGCUCUCUUGCAGCCAAAUAUUGCUGAUAGGUAUUCUGUUGGUAGUAGAACGCAAAGAACAAAGUAUCAGUGCCAUAAUUAUCAAUGGUUAGUCGUUCCCAGAAUCCAGGAUUAUUUACAAUAGGUGCCUGAACUUGAGGAUAGCUAGGAGGUGUGGCUGCAGGGUGCCUUGGAGGAUAGCUCCUAGCACGUUCCGAGUCUUUAGGUUGAGGAAGUUUGUGAUAUGCAGCCUCAAGCAUCUGCAAAUUGUAUAACUGAUCAUGCAGAGCCCCAGAAUUCACAGCAGAUCCACUGAUAGUAUCACCAAUGGCACCAAGGUCAGAGACACUUCUCCGACCAAUAACACCAAGGGCAGUAGAAGGUUGACCGGAUUGUAUGGGUUGCCCAGGCGAGAGAUCAAUAUCUCUUGGCACUUGGACAGGCUCUGCCAAAGAAGCAGAUGCUCCUGUAGGAGUAUCCAUUGCGUAUGGAGUUUUCAAUUCAUCCUUGUUCACAAGAUUUUUGCUCAGCCCAGAUGUAGCAACAGAUUCAGGAAUUGAAUCAUCAGGUAAAUUCUGAGGUUGCUGCUGCUCCUCGGCGUUCAAAUGCCCAACAUCUGCAUCUUUUGCACUACUUGAUAUCAUAACUUGUUGACUAGACUGUUGAUGGAUGGAGUUUUGCUGCUGUAAGGCAGCAGAUGUAACAACACUGUGACCUGGUGCCUGAACUCCAAGUCCCAGACUAGAUUGAGAAGAGACAGAUGAACUUUGAGAAUUGAACUGCUGCAACAAGGGGUUUUGUUGGGCAGAAAACUUUUUAUGAUUUCCACCAGCAAGAGGUGGCAUGCCAAGAAGGGUGCUGUGACCUUGUUGCUGGACUUGUUGAAGGCGUUGCAAAAAUUUCUCCCUCUGAUCAGG
Molecule: unclassified non-coding RNA, 1307 nt
Filed under: Hevea brasiliensis (rubber tree)
Lineage: Eukaryota; Viridiplantae; Streptophyta; Magnoliopsida; Malpighiales; Euphorbiaceae
Source: RNAcentral